AUAUCUUCUCGGCUAUUUAGCUAAGAUCAAGUUUUUAAACUGUUCUUAUCAGAGUAAUUCCUGAUAUGGGCUUUGUCCCAGGAAUAGAAACUGUUGAUCUCCCAGGCGUUCUUCCGGAGUUCCACGUGUCCGGACGGAGUGCUUGUUUU
Molecule: small nuclear RNA, 149 nt
Organism: Trypanosoma cruzi marinkellei
Lineage: Eukaryota; Euglenozoa; Kinetoplastea; Trypanosomatida; Trypanosomatidae
Rfam family: U2 spliceosomal RNA
About the family: U2 is a small nuclear RNA (snRNA) component of the spliceosome (involved in pre-mRNA splicing). Complementary binding between U2 snRNA (in an area lying towards the 5' end but 3' to hairpin I) and the branchpoint sequence (BPS) of the intron results the bulging out of an unpaired adenosine, on the BPS, which initiates a nucleophilic attack at the intronic 5' splice site, thus starting the first of two transesterification reactions that mediate splicing.
Source: Rfam